GGAUGUGAGGGCAAUCUGGUUGCGACAUCUGUCACCCCAUUGAUCGCCAGGGUUGAUUCGGCUGAUCUGGCUGGCUAGGCGGGUGUCCCCUUCCUCCCUCACCGCUCCAUGUGCAUCCCUCCUGAAGCUGCGCUCUCGGUUGAAGAGGACGACCAUCCCCGAUAGAGGAGGACCGUUCUUCGGUCAAGGGUAUACGAGUAGCUGCGCUCUCCUGCUAGAACCUCCAAACAAGCUCUCAAGGUCCAUUUGUAGGAGAAAGUAGGGUAGUCAAGCUUCCAAGACUCCAGACACAUCCAAAUGAGGCGCUGCAUGUGGCAGUCUGCCUUUCUUG
This 331-nucleotide small nuclear RNA is filed under the name Sus scrofa (pig). Its description in RNAcentral is "7SK RNA (ENSSSCG00070011332.1)". It matches the Rfam family "7SK RNA". Rfam says of the family: 7SK was discovered as an abundant small nuclear RNA in the mid-70s but a possible function has only recently been suggested. Lineage: Eukaryota; Metazoa; Chordata; Mammalia; Artiodactyla; Suidae. The record is from RNAcentral.